This 215-nucleotide small nucleolar RNA is filed under the name Helianthus annuus (common sunflower). RNAcentral describes it as "Plant small nucleolar RNA U3". It matches the Rfam family "Plant small nucleolar RNA U3". Rfam says of the family: Small nucleolar RNAs (snoRNAs) are involved in the processing and modification of rRNA in the nucleolus. Lineage: Eukaryota; Viridiplantae; Streptophyta; Magnoliopsida; Asterales; Asteraceae. The record is from RNAcentral.
AUGACCUUACUUGAACAAGAUAUGCUCUAUAGGCUCGUACCUUUGUAUUCUUGAUUCCUAAGAAGAUAGAAACCCAUGUCUGUUUGAUAAACCAGGACCAUGUGACCAAAGCGUGAUUAACAGAGUUCCUUUGUCUUGACCAUGGCUCAGUAGAGGAUCGUUUCCAAACUAUCUGAUGGGUCUUUUGGCAUAGUCACAUGGUUGUCUAACAGACA